Molecule: long non-coding RNA, 335 nt
Organism: Bradysia coprophila
Lineage: Eukaryota; Metazoa; Arthropoda; Insecta; Diptera; Sciaridae
Source: RefSeq, a predicted model, not a curated record
UUCUCGAAAAUUCCAAAAAUCCUUUAUGUUGUUUCAUAAUUUCCGUGGAGUAUUUGGAAAUUCCAGACCUUCUCCGCUUGUUGAAUGAAUUGCUGGCUCGUUGUCGGCCUCGCUGCUUGUCGAAUGAAUUUGCUGGCUCGUUGUCGGCCUCGCUGCUUGUCGAAUGAAUUUGCUGGCUCGUUGUCGGCCUCGCUGCUUGUCGAAUGAAUUGCUGGCUCGUUGUCGGCCUCGCUGCUUGUCGAAUGAAUUUGCUGGCUCGUUGUCGGCCUCGCUGCUUGUCGAAUGAAUUUGCUGGCUCGUUGUCGGCCUCGCUGCUUGCUGAAUUGCUGGCACGG